Molecule: ribosomal RNA, 377 nt
Filed under: uncultured eukaryote
Lineage: Eukaryota
Description: partial 18S ribosomal RNA
Rfam family: Eukaryotic small subunit ribosomal RNA
Source: RNAcentral
CAAUAGCGUAUAUUUAAGUUGCUGCAGUUAAAAAGCUCGUAGUUGGAUUUCGGGUGGGAAUGGCCGGUCCACCGUUUCGGUGUGCACUUGCUACGCCCACCUUGCUGCCGGGGACGUGCUCUUGAGUUCACGCUCGGGACACGGAGUCGGCGAGGUUACUUUGAGUAAAUUAGAGUGUUCAAAGCAGGCCUACGCUCUGAAUACAUUAGCAUGGAAUAACACGAUAGGACUCUGGCCUAUCUUGUUGGUCUGUAGGACCGGAGUAAUGAUUAAGAGGGACAGUCGGGGGCAUUCGUAUUUCAUUGUCGGAGGUGAAAUUCUUGGAUUUAUGAAAGACGAACUACUGCGAAAGCAUUUGCCAAGGAUGUUUUCAUUAA